AUGUCUGUCCUGCAACUUCAGGGGCUUUAUGAUAUGACUCAUCUUAGCAGUUUAGCUGAACCUUUCACCUGGGCUGCCAUCGAUUCAUCUCCAAAUAAUAGGAGCCCAGGAGCAGAUGGCUACGCAAAUGAUCUGCUCUGUUUAUCCCAAGAAUUCCUCAAUAAUACAAUUGAUCUGAUCGCCAUUAAUACAGUCUUCAUCACCACGCUCCUGCCCAAGAAAGAAGUGUCUUUUGAAAUCAAGGAUUUCAGGCCUAUCUCUUUGUUGCAUAGUGUUCCUAAGCUGGCUACUAAGAUGUCGGUUCGGCUACAGAGAAAAUCCUAG
RNAcentral lists this ribosomal RNA (324 nucleotides) under Triticum aestivum (bread wheat). Its description in RNAcentral is "partial small subunit ribosomal RNA". Lineage: Eukaryota; Viridiplantae; Streptophyta; Magnoliopsida; Poales; Poaceae. The record is from RNAcentral.